Molecule: long non-coding RNA, 1127 nt
Filed under: Equus caballus (horse)
Lineage: Eukaryota; Metazoa; Chordata; Mammalia; Perissodactyla; Equidae
Description: lncRNA (ENSECAG00000055884.1)
Source: RNAcentral
UUUAUAAAUGAAGGACGCUGAUGCCUAGAAGGAGCAAAGGUUUGUGCGAAGGAAGAGAACGUGAAAAAUGAAAAGAAAAUGGAUUUUUAUCAAGGACCUGCUCCACACCAGCAAUCAAUCAGUGCGCUUUCACAUAUAUCAACAGACCUUUUCCCUCAAAAUCUCUACAUGCUGCAUUUACAGAUGAGGAAACUGGCUCCAUUAGGUAACUUAGGAACUCAGUGAGGGGGAGACUCAGAUGCCAACGCCCAGUGCUCGGCUCUUGAGUCCAGAGCUCAUUCAUUCAAUCCACACAUUCAACCAACAACCAUUUCUCCAUCAUCUACUAUUAUGCUGCACAUUUAAGAACAAAGAGAUGAACAAAAUAAGCAAGCUUCCGCCAUGCUGGAGUGUAAAGGUGCCAGGUGCUGUUGUUGAAGUACAAGGUGCUAUGUGAAAAUCUACAGGGAAUCCUGCUGCGGUUCCCUGGAGAAGCGACACACGAGCAAGGAGCUGACGGAUAAUGCCCAGGAGUUGGCAAGGCAGAGAGGGCGUGGAGAGGAGGAGUAUUCUAGGCAGAUGGAACAGUGAAUGCAAAGGAUCUGAGCUGCAAGAGUUUGUGAUAUUCCAGGUGGCUGGAGAAAUGGCUUGGGGCCAGAUCGUGCAGGACCACAUGGGCUGUGUCCAGAAUUUGAGAAGUUCAAGUCACCAGACGUCUAAAGAGUGGUAGGCACAAUCAGAGUGGUUUUUUAAAAAGACUCUAGCAGGGGCUGGCCCAUUGUGGUUAAUUUCACACACUCCAUUUCAGUGGCCCAGGGUUCAUGGAUGUUAGCCCAGGACCAAUCUUCCUCACCAAAAAACCCAAAAACAAAAAAACAAAACCCUGCCAAGUGGUGAAUGGCCUAGAGUGAAAGCAUAGACGAGUUAGGAGGCCCUCCUAGCCAUGCAAGAGGAAGACAAGAUGAAGGAGGGCUGGGCUGACAGUGGCAGCAGAGGGCCUAGGAAGAAGUUGGUGGAUUCGCAAACUACUGAGGAAGUAAAUCACCAGGGCUUGUGAUUAACUCCAUGUGGAGAGAUGGAGGGGGAAGUGGCAGUACCUGUCAGGUCCCCACUCUGGUCCAUAGCCCCUCACCCCCCACCAGCAGGUU